UGGUGUAUAGUCAAAUUAGGUAAGACAUUGGUUUUUGAUGCCAUCAUUUAAAGGUUCGAAUCCUUUUACACCAGA
This 75-nucleotide transfer RNA is filed under the name Synarthrophyton patena. RNAcentral describes it as "tRNA-Gln". It matches the Rfam family "tRNA". Rfam says of the family: Transfer RNA (tRNA) molecules are approximately 80 nucleotides in length. Lineage: Eukaryota; Rhodophyta; Florideophyceae; Hapalidiales; Hapalidiaceae. The record is from RNAcentral.